CAGUUUGGCAUACACUUACAACAAUAAGUUAGUUCUAAAGGGUAAGGUUAAUGUAUCGCAAACUGUUGCUUUCAUGUUCAAAAAUUUGAUUUCCAAAACUGUUGACCAUAAAUUACAGUUUCGAUAACCCAUACCAAAGAAUAACAGUAUAACAUAAUGUGCUGACAUUGUUAAAUGAUUCGGGGAUGCAAACUCAGAUUACACGGUAGAAAUAUGGGAUCACAGUAUAUCAAAUGGUGAGCUUUCAUGUUUCCGCAACACACCCACACCAAUACAUUUCACUAUUUAAUACAUUUGUUGAACAGUAUCACAAAUAGUAAAACUUAUUUGUAUCUGUGAACGAUUUGAUUGGAUCACGAAACGUAUCAUUCGUUGCCUUCGUUGCUGAACAUAAAAACAAAACAAAAGUCUCACAGCGUCAUGUGCAGAAAAACCACGGGAAAAUCCGACUUCCAAUGGCUUCAUUGGUUAAUCCAGCAUCGGACAGGACGAAAUUGGAUGUUACAGGAUACACAUCGGCUAGCCGGAAGCUCCCUGCCGGGUUGCAAUCAAUUUCUGGAGGCAAACCCCUGAAUAAUAGUGCAUCAUGCCAGAAGAAAUGUACUUCCUCCCAGAUCCUGGGAACUUCCGUGGCAACAAUCCAUCAGAAUUAACAACAGCAGCAGGACCCGCUGCGGCAGCUGGAUACAAGGCAUGAUCUGAUUGCGGCAGUCAUUAAUAGACGUACGCCGGAAACCAUCCGGCUUCGGUAACCAUCUUACGGAUCGAUCCAUUCAUGGUUGUGAUCGUGUCCGCGGCGCAUUAGGAUUCCGGAAGUGUUUUUCCUAUUUUCAGUUAUCGCUACUUUGUUCCUGCGUUCAAUAAAAUAUACGAAACUCA
Molecule: long non-coding RNA, 879 nt
Organism: Aedes albopictus (Asian tiger mosquito)
Lineage: Eukaryota; Metazoa; Arthropoda; Insecta; Diptera; Culicidae
Exons: 2
Source: RefSeq, a predicted model, not a curated record